GGGAGGGUAUGCACUAAGAGAUUAGGCGUUCCCUUCGGGGACAGAAUGACAGGUGGUGCAUGGUUGUCGUCAGCUCGUGUCGUGAGAUGUUGGGUUAAGUCCCGCAACGAGCGCAACCCUUAUUACUAGUUGCCAGCAUUCAGUUGGGCACUCUAGUGAGACUGCCGGUGACAAACCGGAGGAAGGUGGGGACGACGUCAAAUCAUCAUGCCCCUUAUGACCUGGGCUACACACGUGCUACAAUGGAUGGUACAACGAGUCGCGAAACCGCGAGGUUUAGCUAAUCUCUUAAAACCAUUCUCAGUUCGGACUGUAGGCUGCAACUCGCCUACACGAAGUCGGAAUCGCUAGUAAUCGCGGAUCAGCAUGCCGCGGUGAAUACGUUCCCGGGUCUGGACCACACCGAG
RNAcentral lists this ribosomal RNA (407 nucleotides) under uncultured Pediococcus sp. Its description in RNAcentral is "bacterial SSU rRNA". It matches the Rfam family "Bacterial small subunit ribosomal RNA", at positions 983 to 1394 of the family's 1533-position model. Lineage: Bacteria; Bacillati; Bacillota; Bacilli; Lactobacillales; Lactobacillaceae. The record is from RNAcentral.